ACCCUGAUCUAGCCAUGCCGCGUGAGUGAUGAAGGCCCUAGGGUUGUAAAGCUCUUUCAGCUGGGAAGAUAAUGACGGUACCAACAGAAGAAGCCCCGGCUAACUCCGUGCCAGCAGCCGCGGUAAUACGGAGGGGGCUAGCGUUGUUCGGAAUUACUGGGCGUAAAGCGCACGUAAGCGGACCGGAAAAUUGGGGGUGAAAUCCCGGGGCUCAACCCCGGAACUGCCUUCAAAACUAUCCGUCUGGAGUUCGAGAGAGGUGGGUGGAAUUCCGAGUGGAGAGGUGAAAUUCGUAGAUAUUCGGAGGAACACCAGUGGCGAAGGCGGCUCACUGGCUCGAUACUGACGCUGAGGUGCGAAAGCAUGGGGAGCAAACAGGAUUAAAUACCCUGGUAGUCCACGCCGUAAAAGAUGAAUGCCAGUCGUCGGGCAGCAUGCUGUUCGGUGACACACCUAACGGAUUAAGCAUUCCGCCUGGGGAGUACGGUCGCAAGAUUAAAACUCAAAGGAAUU
Molecule: ribosomal RNA, 513 nt
Filed under: uncultured bacterium
Lineage: Bacteria
Description: bacterial SSU rRNA
Rfam family: Bacterial small subunit ribosomal RNA
Source: RNAcentral